Molecule: ribosomal RNA, 497 nt
Filed under: uncultured bacterium
Lineage: Bacteria
Description: partial 16S ribosomal RNA
Rfam family: Bacterial small subunit ribosomal RNA
Source: RNAcentral
GAUGAACGCUGGCGGCGUGCCUAAUACAUGCAAGUCGAGCGAACAGACGAGGAGCUUGCUCCUCUGACGUUAGCGGCGGACGGGUGAGUAACACGUGGAUAACCUACCUAUAAGACUGGGAUAACUUCGGGAAACCGGAGCUAAUACCGGAUAAUAUAUUGAACCGCAUGGUUCAAUAGUGAAAGACGGUUUUGCUGUCACUUAUAGAUGGAUCCGCGCCGCAUUAGCUAGUUGGUAAGGUAACGGCUUACCAAGGCGACGAUGCGUAGCCGACCUGAGAGGGUGAUCGGCCACACUGGAACUGAGACACGGUCCAGACGCCUACGGGAGGCAGCAGUAGGGAAUCUUCCGCAAUGGGCGAAAGCCUGACGGAGCAACGCCGCGUGAGUGAUGAAGGUCUUCGGAUCGUAAAACUCUGUCAUUAGGGAAGAACAAAUGUGUAAGUAACUAUGCACGUCUUGACGGUACCUAAUCAGAAAGCCACGGCUAACUACGUG